Molecule: ribosomal RNA, 1067 nt
Filed under: Salmonella enterica
Lineage: Bacteria; Pseudomonadati; Pseudomonadota; Gammaproteobacteria; Enterobacterales; Enterobacteriaceae
Description: partial 23S ribosomal RNA
Rfam family: Bacterial large subunit ribosomal RNA
Source: RNAcentral
CUGUAAGCCUGUGAAGGUGUGUCGUGAGGCAUGCUGGAGGUAUCAGAAGUGCGAAUGCUGACAUAAGUAACGAUAAAGCGGGUGAAAAGCCCGCUCGCCGGAAGACCAAGGGUUCCUGUCCAACGUUAAUCGGGGCAGGGUGAGUCGACCCCUAAGGCGAGGCCGAAAGGCGUAGUCGAUGGGAAACGGGUUAAUAUUCCCGUACUUGGUGUUACUGCGAAGGGGGGACGGAGAAGGCUAUGUUGGCCGGGCGACGGUUGUCCCGGUUUAAGUGUGUAGGUGUGUGUUCCAGGUAAAUCCGGUUCACUUUAACACUGAGGCGUGACGACGAGGCACUACGGUGCUGAAGCAACAAAUGCCCUGCUUCCAGGAAAAGCCUCUAAGCAUCAGGUAACAUCAAAUCGUACCCCAAACCGACACAGGUGGUCAGGUAGAGAAUACCAAGGCGCUUGAGAGAACUCGGGUGAAGGAACUAGGCAAAAUGGUGCCGUAACUUCGGGAGAAGGCACGCUGACACGUAGGUGAAGUGAUUUACUCAUGGAGCUGAAGUCAGUCGAAGAUACCAGCUGGCUGCAACUGUUUAUUAAAAACACAGCACUGUGCAAACACGAAAGUGGACGUAUACGGUGUGACGCCUGCCCGGUGCCGGAAGGUUAAUUGAUGGGGUCAGCGCAAGCGAAGCUCCUGAUCGAAGCCCCGGUAAACGGCGGCCGUAACUAUAACGGUCCUAAGGUAGCGAAAUUCCUUGUCGGGUAAGUUCCGACCUGCACGAAUGGCGUAAUGAUGGCCAGGCUGUCUCCACCCGAGACUCAGUGAAAUUGAACUCGCUGUGAAGAUGCAGUGUACCCGCGGCAAGACGGAAAGACCCCGUGAACCUUUACUAUAGCUUGACACUGAACAUUGAGCCUUGAUGUGUAGGAUAGGUGGGAGGCUUUGAAGUGUGGACGCCAGUCUGCAUGGAGCCGACCUUGAAAUACCACCCUUUAAUGUUUGAUGUUCUAACGUGGACCCGUUACCCGGGUUGCGGACAGUGUCUGGUGGGUAGUUUGACUGGGGCGGUCUCCUCC